This 302-nucleotide long non-coding RNA is filed under the name Setaria viridis. Its description in RNAcentral is "long non-coding RNA (SVIR_LNC006536)". The record is from RNAcentral. Lineage: Eukaryota; Viridiplantae; Streptophyta; Magnoliopsida; Poales; Poaceae.
GAAAAAACCCAAAGGGAAAUUGGGCACACACAGGAACAUUCCGUUUUCCAGUAGUGUUACACAAUGCUUGGUGCCACUACUAGGCCUAAAAAACUAACAUAAUCUUUAUUCAAUAUGUCUUACCUUAUAUAUAUAAUCUUUCAAUCUAUAUAUGUAUUAAUAGAAUCUAUAGUAGUCUUAAAUAAUAAGAUCAAAAUGAAGAUAUAAAUUGUGGAUUAUUUCUUUCUUUUUCAUACUGGAAGUCAUCAAUUCAAGACUGAUUAUCCCUAAACCUUAUCUAAGCUAUUUUGACUUACUCCCCC